Molecule: small nucleolar RNA, 150 nt
Filed under: Mola mola (ocean sunfish)
Lineage: Eukaryota; Metazoa; Chordata; Actinopteri; Tetraodontiformes; Molidae
Source: RNAcentral
CUUCAGUGAUGAGCCGAUGACGAGUCGGAACAUGUCUCGGACUUGUUCUGGUGGUUACUGGUUCAAAUCCACGUUCUGUGGUUCUGUGCCAGUUUCUCAGAGCAGGAUGUCCUUUUCAGUUGAAGACAUUGAGGCAUUUGUCUGAGAAGG